This 290-nucleotide unclassified non-coding RNA is filed under the name Hevea brasiliensis (rubber tree). The record is from RNAcentral. Lineage: Eukaryota; Viridiplantae; Streptophyta; Magnoliopsida; Malpighiales; Euphorbiaceae.
CUUAUUUUUCUUCUUCUUCUUCUUUGCAGCUUCUGUCGUCGGCUCAUCCACUGUCAAACCAUCAAUUUUCUCCUCAACCUCCUUUUGCAGUGAGGAAGCAGACCCGUUGGCCGUUUCAUUAUCAUUGCGAACCUCAGAUGUUCCUUCUAUAACAACGGAAGCAGAGUUUGGCUCUUCUUUUGCCAUUAUCAAUGUCUACACUGUGUAACUGAAGAAGAAGAAUGAGUUACAGGCGCUGUAUUUAGCUAUCUUUUUGCCCUAGCUUUUGUUUCACCUCACCAAACAAAGAG